Molecule: non-coding RNA, 102 nt
Filed under: Orenia metallireducens
Lineage: Bacteria; Bacillati; Bacillota; Clostridia; Halanaerobiales; Halobacteroidaceae
Also listed under: 1 other name
Description: Purine riboswitch aptamer
Rfam family: Purine riboswitch aptamer
About the family: Riboswitches are metabolite binding domains within certain messenger RNAs that serve as precision sensors for their corresponding targets.
Source: Rfam by way of RNAcentral
AAAUAAAAGUAUAAGUAAUUCCGUAUAAUAUCAGGGAUAGGGCCUGAAAGUUUCUACCGAUUAGCCGUAAACUAGUCGACUACGGGAUGUUGAUGUUAGUUU